GAGAGUUGGGUAGUCCGCACGAGCGCACCUCACUUUUAGUUGCCAUCAUUAAGUUGGGCACUCUGAAAGAACUGCCAGUGAUAAGCUGGAGGAAGGUGGGGAUGACGUCAAGUCCUCAUGGCCCUUACGUGUUGGGCUACACACGUGCUACAAUGGCAUCUACAACAGGAAGCAAAACGGCAACGUUAAGCAAAUCCCGAAAAGAUGCCUCAGUUCGGAUUGCACUCUGCAACUCGAGUGCAUGAAGCUGGAAUUACUAGUAAUCGUGGAUCAGCGUGCCACGGUGAAUGCGUUCCCGGGUCUUGUACACACCGCCCGUCACACCAUGGGAGUUGGUUCUACCUUAAGGCAAGGUUUUAAACCCUUGACCACGGUAUAGUCAGCGACUGGGGUGAAGUCGUAACAAGGUAGCCGUAGGGGAACCUGCGGCUGGAUUACCUCCUUUCU
RNAcentral lists this ribosomal RNA (447 nucleotides) under uncultured Pelagibacterales bacterium. RNAcentral describes it as "bacterial SSU rRNA". It matches the Rfam family "Bacterial small subunit ribosomal RNA", at positions 1069 to 1533 of the family's 1533-position model. The record is from RNAcentral. Lineage: Bacteria; Pseudomonadati; Pseudomonadota; Alphaproteobacteria; Candidatus Pelagibacterales.